Molecule: unclassified non-coding RNA, 335 nt
Filed under: soil metagenome
Description: partial contains 5.8S ribosomal RNA, internal transcribed spacer 2, and large subunit ribosomal RNA
Rfam family: 5.8S ribosomal RNA (bases 1-120)
Source: RNAcentral
GAUGAAGAACGCAGCGAAAUGCGAUAAGUAAUGUGAAUUGCAGAAUUCAGUGAAUCAUCGAAUCUUUGAACGCACAUUGCGCCCGCCAGUAUUCUGGCGGGCAUGCCUGUUCGAGCGUCAUUUCAACCAUCAAGCCCCCGGCUUGUGUUGGGGACCUGCGGCUGCCGCAGGCCCUGAAAACCAGUGGCGGGCUCGCUAGUCACUCCGAGCGUAGUAAUACAUCUCGCUCAUGGCGUGCUGCGGGUUCCGGCCGUUAAAAAGCCUUAUUUACCCAAGGUUGACCUCGGAUCAGGUAGGAAGACCCGCUGAACUUAAGCAUAUCAAUAAGCGGAGGA